RNAcentral lists this long non-coding RNA (368 nucleotides) under Struthio camelus australis. Its description in RNAcentral is "lncRNA (ENSSCUG00000015812.1)". Lineage: Eukaryota; Metazoa; Chordata; Aves; Struthioniformes; Struthionidae. The record is from RNAcentral.
GUCUGCCUGAGAGCCUGCUGCCACAGAAGUGUGAUUACAUGACAUUUUUAGGUGAGAAAAAGGACUGUAAAAGCCAAACUGUGGGAGGACUCCCAGGCUGAACAAGCAGAUGUGAAAUGGAUGCACAUUGGAUUGCCUACUUCUGUUGGUCAGAUGCCCCAGAAUAUUCUGAUUAACCUUCACUGAAAGGGUGCGGAAAGAUCAUGCUACAAUAGUUCUGACUCCUUCCUCUUCCUGAACUUAAAGAGAAAAGAAGCCCUUCUUUUUUUUUUUUGUUUUUUUUCCUGUCUUCAUAUGUCUCCUUCAUUAAUUUGGAGAAAAUAAAACAUCACUUUUACUUCUGUAUAUGAUCGAUGAAGUGGCUUUCU